Transfer RNA from Aspergillus versicolor CBS 583.65, 158 nucleotides. It matches the Rfam family "tRNA". From Rfam's summary of the family: Transfer RNA (tRNA) molecules are approximately 80 nucleotides in length. Their secondary structure includes four short double-helical elements and three loops (D, anti-codon, and T loops). Lineage: Eukaryota; Fungi; Ascomycota; Eurotiomycetes; Eurotiales; Aspergillaceae. The record is from Rfam.
GGCCAAGUAGCUUAAUGGUUAUAGCGUUGGUUGAACACUGAGAUGAUCCUAGUCUCGAUACAAGCCGCGUCGCUGUAGUAAUUGCUGACUGAGAGAGGAGGUAUCGUUGAACGAGUGGACAUAAACCAAAGAUGCAAGUUCGACUCUUGCCCUGGCCA